CACACUGAUGGAAUGACUUCCUCCACAGCUCUGAGAAGGUGGAGUCCUAAAGGACAUGUAGUCUCUUGGCAGUUAAGCAGGACAGAGCUCUAAAGCACUGAGUCCGAAGCUGGACCUGCCGUUGAUCCUGGUCACGGCCGUUCGAAGCGAUGCAGGUGAAGAAGCCAGCAUCUUCAGAGCCAACACGACUGAUCACCAGGGCACCAUCUGACUGCUGCCUGUGCCUGGGGACAAAAGCCACAAAUUCCCCUGAGUUUUGGGAAGGGAGAGGGAGAGUGCGGUCAUGGUGUUAGCAGCAGCUCUGCAGGGCCUUGAUUCUCUCGGGUAGAGAAUGCAUCAUCCGCCAGGAGCCCCAGCGUUGGCACGCACAAGGGCUGCCGUGAUGACAACACAGCCACAUGUACUCACCUGGAAGAGGAGACAGGCUGCCCAUCCUUCU
Trachemys scripta elegans is the source of this 439-nucleotide long non-coding RNA. RefSeq lists it as uncharacterized. The transcript has 3 exons. The record is from RefSeq and is a predicted model, not a curated record. Lineage: Eukaryota; Metazoa; Chordata; Testudines; Emydidae.